RNAcentral lists this ribosomal RNA (440 nucleotides) under uncultured bacterium. RNAcentral's name for it is "partial 16S ribosomal RNA". It matches the Rfam family "Bacterial small subunit ribosomal RNA", at positions 338 to 795 of the family's 1533-position model. The record is from RNAcentral.
CCUACGUGAGGCAGCAGUGGGGAAUAUUGCACAAUGGGGGAAACCCUGAUGCAGCGACGCCGCGUGAGGGAAGAAGUAAUUCGUUAUGUAAAGCUCUAUCAGCAGGGAAGAAAAUGACGGUACCUGAAUAAGAAGACCCGGCUAACUUCGUGCCAGCAGCCGCGGUAAUACGUAGGGGGCAAGCGUUAGCCGGAUUUACUGGGGGUAAAGGGAGCGUAGACGGCAGUGCAAGUCUUGAGUGAAAGGCGGGGGCUCAACCCCCGGACUGCUCUGGAAACUGUACGGCUGGAGUGCAGGAGAGGUAAGUGGAAUUCCUAGGGUAGCGGUGAAAUGCGUAGAUAUUAGGAGGAACACCAGUGGCGAAGGCGGCUUACUGGACUGUAACUGACGUUGAGGCUCGAAAGCGUGGGGAGCAAACAGGAUUAGAUACCCGGGUAGUC